Molecule: long non-coding RNA, 214 nt
Filed under: Elaeis guineensis (African oil palm)
Lineage: Eukaryota; Viridiplantae; Streptophyta; Magnoliopsida; Arecales; Arecaceae
Description: long non-coding RNA (EGUI_LNC007269)
Source: RNAcentral
AGGGCGAGCACAAGGGUAAAAUAAUAGAUUUUUUUGGUGUUCUGCAUGAGGUUAUAGAGUUGAGAUAUAGUGAUCUUCAACGGAUUGUGUUAUUCAAGUAUUGAUGGUAUGACUUAGGACGACACAGGCCAAUUGUUAUAGAUCCUCAACUCGUCAGUGUCCACAUUGGUCAUGUAUGGUAUGAAAGUGAUCCUUAUAUUUUUGCAAAGCAAGC